GGGUUCGUGGAGUAGUCGCAGGGUGGUGAGCCCCCCCUCAUCCUCCCAGGAUUCCACAGGGGAGGGAGGGUGGGACAGCCCUAAGCCCCAACCACCGGACUCCCCCCUCUGGAGCAUGAGAGUGGGGCGUGGCUCAGGGUUUCCCAGCAGGAGGAGGUCCAGAGGAGGAGGUGUUGGAGGAGGAAGAGGAGGAGGAGGAGGAAGAGGAAGGAGCAGACUGAAGACUCAGGACAGUCUGACUGUGUCACCAGGAUAUGGGUACGUGGAACCGUUCCAGCCAAAGGAGGAAGAGGAGAACUCGAUGCACAACACGGUGGUGAUGUUCUCUACCUCCGACCACUUCACUCUCAGACAGG
Non-coding RNA from Paralichthys olivaceus (Japanese flounder), 356 nucleotides. NCBI's taxonomy places the organism in Eukaryota, Metazoa, Chordata, Actinopteri, Pleuronectiformes, Paralichthyidae. The record is from RefSeq and is a predicted model, not a curated record.